Molecule: ribosomal RNA, 442 nt
Filed under: uncultured bacterium
Lineage: Bacteria
Description: bacterial SSU rRNA
Rfam family: Bacterial small subunit ribosomal RNA
Source: RNAcentral
UCAACGCUGGCGGCGUGCCUCAGACAUGCAAGUCGAACGCGAAAGUCCCCUUCGGGGGACAAGUAGAGUGGCGCACGGGUGAGUAACACGUAGGUAAUCUACCUUUGGAUGGGGAAUAACAACCGGAAACGGUUGCUAAUACCGCAUAAUGCAGCGGCACCUAAUGGUGACAGUUGUUAAAGCGGGGGAUCGAAAGACCUCGCGUCUAAAGAGGAGCCUGCGGCGGAUUAGCUAGUUGGUAAGGUAAUGGCUUACCAAGGCUACGAUCCGUAACCGGCCUGAGAGGGCGGUCGGUCACACUGACACUGACAUACGGGUCAGACUCCUACGGGAGGCAGCAGUCGGGAAUUUUGGGCAAUGGGCGAAAGCCUGACCCAGCAACGCCGCGUGAAGGAUGAAAUCCCUCGGGAUGUAAACUUCGCAAGAACGGGAAGAAUAAGUA